UUUCCGUAGGUGAACCUGCGGAAGGAUCAUUCA
Molecule: ribosomal RNA, 33 nt
Filed under: Mortierellales sp.
Lineage: Eukaryota; Fungi; Mortierellomycota
Description: partial 18S ribosomal RNA
Source: RNAcentral